ACGGAAGGCAGCAGUCGGGAAUAUUGCACAAUGGGGGAAACCCUGAUGCAGCAACGCCACGUGUGGGAAGAAGCAUUUCGGUGUGUAAACCACUGUCGUGAGGGAAUAAUGCUUAAUUUCGGUUAAGUUGACUGUACCUCGAAAGGAAGCACCGGCAAACUUCGUGCCAGCAGCCGCGGUAAUACGAGGGGUGCAAGCGUUGUUCGGAAUCACUGGGCAUAAAGGGAGCGCAGGCGGAGAUGCAAGCAGUCUGUACAAUACCGGGGCCCAAACCCGGACCUGCAGACUGGACUGUUUCUCUUGGAGAGUUCAGGGGCAAGCGGAAUUCCUGGUGUAGCGGUGGAAUGCGUAGAGAUCAGGAAGAACACCGAUGGCGAAGGCAGCUUGCUGGGGACUUAUCGACGCUCAUGCUCGAAAGUGCGGGUAGCAAUCAGGAUUAGAUACCCUGGUA
This 451-nucleotide ribosomal RNA is filed under the name uncultured Fibrobacter sp. RNAcentral's name for it is "partial 16S ribosomal RNA". It matches the Rfam family "Bacterial small subunit ribosomal RNA", at positions 341 to 792 of the family's 1533-position model. Lineage: Bacteria; Pseudomonadati; Fibrobacterota; Fibrobacteria; Fibrobacterales; Fibrobacteraceae. The record is from RNAcentral.